RNAcentral lists this transfer RNA (76 nucleotides) under Cyphobasidiales sp. Tagirdzhanova-0007. Its description in RNAcentral is "tRNA-Leu". It matches the Rfam family "tRNA". From Rfam's summary of the family: Transfer RNA (tRNA) molecules are approximately 80 nucleotides in length. Their secondary structure includes four short double-helical elements and three loops (D, anti-codon, and T loops). Further hydrogen bonds mediate the characteristic L-shaped molecular structure. tRNAs have two regions of fundamental functional importance: the anti-codon, which is responsible for specific mRNA codon recognition, and the 3' end, to which the tRNAs corresponding amino acid is attached (by aminoacyl-tRNA synthetases). tRNAs cope with the degeneracy of the genetic code in two manners: having more than one tRNA (with a specific anti-codon) for a particular amino acid; and 'wobble' base-pairing, i.e. permitting non-standard base-pairing at the 3rd anti-codon position. Lineage: Eukaryota; Fungi; Basidiomycota; Cystobasidiomycetes; Cyphobasidiales. The record is from RNAcentral.
GAAAGCCGAGUGGUUAAGGUGGCAGUCUUAAGAACUGCUGUCGCAAGACGCGCGGGUUCGAACCCCGCUUUCUCCA